AUCCAAGUGCAGGCGACAAGUUGGAUGUGAAACAAUGUUUCUACCAACAGUGAAGCCUGCGUAAGAGGAGCAAAUAAAAACAAAAUGAAAGAGGAAAAAAAUGGGUCUGACGUUGAAAAGCUUUGGAAAUUCCUCCUUCGGCUCUGCAGAAGCUUAUUUUUCACAAGUUGUCGGGAAACUACAGUCGUUUGCUGCGUUAUCAAAAGUCUGGAAAGAGAAAUGUAAAAAUGUUCUCCAUUAUUUUUUUUCGAAAGUGUUGCAAGACCGAUUUUCUUCAGAGGUUGACGCGCAUCGGACACCUUCAGUGUCUCGCUGGCUCGCGGACAGUAGUCGAAUUAAACCAACUUGGAUCCCUGUGGAGCUGCCUCGAAGAGGGAUCCUAAUAUCACAUAUCAGUUAGAUGACCAAGUUCAGGGCCUGCAUGACUGCUGCAGCACAGCGCCGGAGCUUGCAUCAGUGGAAUACUGUUGGGGAUACAUCGGACCACACCCAUAUACUGAUAGACCCUCUGAUUGGAUAUCACAUGGAUGUCUUGACCACUACCAUGGCUUUCAUGCAAAUUGAUGAAGGAGCAAAGAAGCAGCUGUGAGAAGCCUGGAAGGUCCCCCAACUCUGCCCCUCACCUGUGUCACAUCUGCCUCCCAGUGCCAUCAAGGUGCGUCAAUCUUCAACCCUGGCAUCUCUUUACCUGUGGCACUACGCUGCACCUUCCUGGCUAGCACGCUUCUAUCCUCCCCCAUCCCUCCCACCUCUUGUUCCUCACGGCAUCUGUCACUCACCUGUCAUUUCUCUCAUCAACUCCUGCCUCCAUCCUACCUUCUUGAAUUGGGCCUCGGCGAGGGCGGGGAGGGAACCAUUGGAGCGAAAAUGGUGACCACUUUGCCCCAGAUCCAGGUUUAGCUGCUGCGAAUUAUGACACAUCAGGGA
Etheostoma spectabile (orangethroat darter) is the source of this 927-nucleotide long non-coding RNA. RefSeq lists it as uncharacterized. Lineage: Eukaryota; Metazoa; Chordata; Actinopteri; Perciformes; Percidae. The transcript has 3 exons. The record is from RefSeq and is a predicted model, not a curated record.